Long non-coding RNA from Cavia porcellus (domestic guinea pig), 7661 nucleotides. RefSeq lists it as uncharacterized. The transcript has 2 exons. The record is from RefSeq and is a predicted model, not a curated record. NCBI's taxonomy places the organism in Eukaryota, Metazoa, Chordata, Mammalia, Rodentia, Caviidae.
GUCUGGGGACUAUUUAUUGACAUUCCAUUGGAGAGAGGUUUUUCUUUGAGGUAGCCUCCUUGACAGUGUACAGAAGGGCCUCUGGUUCUUCUGGAAUCUUCUUCAGCUCUCCAGUGAUCAGAAUGACAUCAGAGCUGCUUCUUCGCAGCCUGAAGGACAGACAUGGCGCAUGUGAGACAGUCAUGGAGGGCUGUGAGACCAUAGAGCCACCCAUCGGGCAGAGGCAGCCUGGGCUGAAGGACCUGCGUGGGCAGAGCCUGUGCUGCUAUUAGCUUCCGCUGGCCCUUCUGACGGCAUCAGCUGAUCCUCGUGGCAGCACAGCAGAUUGGCAGGGUCAAGGUGCUUUUCCAUUUCUAUUUUGUGACGUUGAACAGUAUGGGUUGUCACUGCCUGGGGCCAUUUCUUGAGUGCAGAAGGAGCAUGGCAGGCUGAUAGACAUUACUGGGUCAUUGCAAUGGGCAGCUAGCUGGUGCUCACAGUGGGGGCAUCGCCAAGGGUGUCCUUGACAUUCGUGGGGCCAGUGCCAGAGCUGUGGUCUUACUCUGCGUGAUUAAUUAACACGCUGGGAGCUCCAGUGGGGCCUAAGUGCCCAAGUGCCUCUCCACUGGAUGGGACAGCUGCAGUGAUGAUGCUGGUGGCUGGUCGAGUGCCCCUUUUCAGGAGAAUCCCCUGAAGGUACCUUGCGAGGGCCCCUUUGCCUCAGGCACCUCUUGGACCUGAUACCCAGUGCUGGCUGCUCCAUUUUGCUCUGGUCACAGGUAAGUCACGGUUGAGUCACAGGCCUAGGUUUGUUGCCCAUGAUGAGGGGUGGGUCUCCACCAGCUCCGCCAUUUUGUCGUGAGCUAGAGGACAGAUACAGUGGUCUCAUUUCGUCUCUUGCUGCUCCUCCCUUGUCCCUGCUCCUCAGGAGCAGCAGGAGGACCACAGUUCUGUUCCUUUUCUCUGGCUAACUGGAGGAUUUCCUGAAAGCCUUCUCUAGGCAUGACUUUUGGCCCUCCUUACUUGCCUGGCUGAUAGUCCUGAAGAAGUAGAUGUGAGCAGAUAAUUUGUCCAAGAUCAGACACAAAGACCGUGGGGAUAGGGACACCAUACUUAUAUUAUUUCAACCUUCUCUCCUUCAUCAGAACUGGGGCUCCAUUUUCAAAACUGAGACUGCCUCUCUGUCAUCUCAGUGGACAUGAUUAAGACUGCCGGUAAAUGUGUUGCUGAUGGCUGUUUGGCCUUUGGAAGACAGCACUGAGUUGAGUUCCGACCACAGGGACAUUUAGGACUGCAGGCUGUCCUCAGAGGCUUCUUCCUCCAGCCCUGCCUGAGGUCUUCAUCUCCUGACCGCCUGGCGAGCACACCAGAGGGAGUCCUGGGGCAGUCGUGGCCCAGCACAUUCUCCCAGACUCCCUGGAUCUUCCCCACAGCCCUGCCUGAAGAGGUCCAUUGGCCGAGGUCCCAGGCUGGUGGUCACAGCCCUGUGCAGGGACUGCUGGUAUCUGGGGGCUACUGCGGGCCCAGGCCACAGGGAGGGAACGUGGCUGGAAGGGCUGAGGAGGAUCCCGCAGUACCCUAGGACAGUGGGCACAGCCUCGUGUGGAAGGUGGCCGAACAGGGUUCUUCCAGAGGGCCCCCCCUCAAUCCUGUUGUGCUAAGUUCAGAGGGUUGGGUGGAGGCUCUCCAGAAGGACUCUACAGAGCUCCGCACCCACAGCCUGUGCUGAUCUGGGAGAGAAGAACCACGGCCCGCUGCCCGGACUCCAGCACCUUUCUGACGCCCUUCGCACCUGCCCUGCUGCCUUCCCCAGGAGCCACCCACUGUCCGUGGCUUCACAGCACGCAGGCCUCUUGGACUUUGGCUAGAAAAUCCCUCUGUUGUCCGCCUCCGCCAGAGUGAGCGCCUGGGGCAACACCUUCGCCGCUGGGUGCUUCAUUACGUUGUCUUGUCUCCACACGUGGUACACAGUAGGUGCCCAAUAAAUUUGUGCAGGAGUGGCUGAUGUCUUUCUCUUACUUGCUCUGUGCAGCGCCCAGCUGUCCGCUUGCUGAAGUCCACAAACCAAGUGCGCUAGCCCUUCUCACUUCAUGUGCUCGAUUUGCUUCUGCAGUGGUCACUGCUUGGGUAUUACUCGGGGAGAUGGACCCCUCAGCCUCCACCCGACCAGCCGGCUUCCCAGCGGGCCUUGCCUUUGUAGUGAUUACCACGGCACAGCGUGCCACCCGUCCUAGUGCUUUCCUCCCCCGGCACCUAACCCCACGGGACAGACCCGUCUUCCUCAUGCACCCCGCGCAGGGAAUUGCGAGGUGAAUGGCCAGACGGCGAAGGACCCACAGACAUGAACAAGGCAGCGAAACUUCCUGGAAGCAGAGCAGCUGCUGCACUUGAGGUGUAGAACAGACAAGAGGAGGCUUUGGGGUGGCCAGGAGGGGUUGGGUCAAGGGUGUCCCCCAGCUGUCCUGAGAGCGGAAGCGAGGGCAGAACUCUCAAUCCUUAGAGCAAAUUCUCUUCAGAGUAUUUGCCCCACUAUAAGAGCACUACCCAAAGUAGGCAGAGUUCUAGGGCCCAAGGACCCCUGAGGUCCAUUCUUACUUGGGCCUCUCAGGAACCGAGGUGGAACUCAGCGGGUGCCCACCAUGCAGGAGGUCAGGCUGCUGAGGGCCAGGGGUCAGCAGUAGAGCUGCUGAGAGCUGAGCUGUCCGGGAGACGGCAGACUGAGGACCUGUACCCUGCUAGGACACCCUGUGAGACACAGUCAGCCCUGGGUCACCCCCUCCACACACACAGCGGGAGGAUUUGGUGGGGAGACCAUGAAGGAAUGGCACAAGAGGCUAAGGGCAUGGCGGAGGCCUGCAGAGGAGAGCCGAGCAGGAGCCACCACUCCAACACAUGCCGCUGAAGGACUCAGCCCUUGCCAGCAGCGCUAACAGAGAAGGCCAGAGCCCUUGCUGUAACAGUUUUCACCUCAACCCAUUUAACCAGAAAGAAAAAGGAAAAAUGCAAAUGUAUUGCGGGCCCCUUGCACUCCUGAAAUUCCACCUUGACUAUACGGCCACAGGGCGAGGAAGUGCCAAGAAGCCUUGUGACCUCCCAGGGGGUCUGGUGAUAUGAGGAUGUUUCUUUUGUUUUGGGUUUGGGGCAUGAGCCCAGGGUCUUCUUACCGAGCUACAUUCCUAGCCUACUUUUUGAGACAGGGCCUCAUUACGUUGCCCCGACUGGUCUCGAACAUGGGAACCUUCUGCCUCAACUUCCCUGACCCCUAGGAAGGUGCACAGGCAUGUACCCCAGUGCUGGUUUACAUGUAGCUUUUUGCAGAGCCCAAUGAAUAGAUGAAGAAAUCAUUCUCCCGAGGGCUGCGACUGGCCCUGCAGUCUCUCUGUAGGUGUGCACACAAGGUCCAUGUGCACACUCAUGGCUCCCGGCUCUGUCUGGAGCCUCCGAUGGACUGGAAGAAAUGCUAGCACCCAAAUUUUGGUCCUGGUGGCAUUCUCCAGUGAGAACAACCAGGCUUUAGUGACAAUAUCUGGUCCUUGCUGCAAGGUGAGCCUGAACAUUGGGAGCUAGGCGAUCAGAAAGUGCUCAGAAAGCCAGACAUGGGAACCUCAAGGGGGACACAGUUGCCCACGGAGAGAGCUCCCAAGGACCAAAAUGGAAAGUGCAACAAACAAAGUCCUGGACUGUAACCCAGUACCUAAAUAUCUGUGACUCUAGUUAGUAGGCAGAAGAGACACAUCCCUUCUAGAGAACAGUUCCGAUAGGGACUUACUCAUUAAGCAGAUGGAACAAACUCCCCAGCCCUUAAGUCUGGGUGAUGUUUGGUGACUUGCUCCCAAAGAGUGUGAUAUUAAAAGAGGGUUGAAUUCUACAUUGGGGAAACUUGGCACGCGUGCCCUCAGCAGGCAACAGAGAUGAGCUCCGUGAGUGACAAGGCCUGUGCACAGUACACAUAUGGGUGCAGCGAGGUGAGCAGGCACCUCACCUCCAAGUCUGUCUCUUUGUCACUGGGACAAAAUACCCAAUACCCCAAGGUUAAAGGAGGGAUUGAGUUUGACUCACAGUUCGGAGGUUUCUGUCUGUAGUGCUCUGGCUCCAAGAUGGGACAGCCUGGCACUGAGGCAUGGCAAAGAAAUAAGUACUUGUGUCAUGGCAGCCCAGGAAGCAGAGAAAGCCCAGAGAAGAUCCUGGAAGGGAGGUAGAACUUCCUGGUCACGUCCACCAUGGCCCACCUCUUCUGGCCAGCCCACCUCCUACAGCAAGUCAGCUGCAGCAUUCCCACAAUGCAGUCACCCUGCAGACAUCCUUCCCUGAGGCUUUAGGAGACAUCUAGGUGUACACUGUUACAGCCUGCCUCCCCAGCCCACCUACCCAGUCUAACAAGAACCAAGCAAUCAGCAACCCAUAUUCUGCAACAUCCAUGACCAGGACUUCCAUGCCAUGGAACACAAGGAGCUCUCAGAGGAGUCUAAGAAGAUAUGACCGACGUCCUAUGGGAUUCUGGUGAGCUGUGAGGCCAGGGAAGGGUGGCGAGCGAGGACCAGUGCAGGGGCAUGCCGAGGCUGGGUCUAAUGCAUCAGCGUCGCUUUAUUAGUACACAGCCAAGUAACGGGGGAAACUGAGGGCAGGUGGGCAGAAGCUCUGGGCCAGGCAUGUUCAGCCAUCUGAUCUUUGCCAAAGGGCCCAAAAGCAAACCCUUGAGGAAAGAUCACCUCUUUAACAAAUGGUGCUGGGAGAACUGCUGUCCAUAGGCAGAAGACUGAAUUUAGACACGUAUCUCUUACCAUGUACUUUAUAAAGUAAAAUCAAAAUGAAUCAAAGAUUUAAAUAUUAAAACAAUCUGCUGGAAGAUUUAAUAGGUAAACUCUUGAGGACAUAGGCAUAGGCAAAGACUUUCUGAACAGAAUCCCAAUUGCACCAGAAAUAACAUGAAGAAUCAACAAAUGGGAUCAUAUCAAAUUAAAAAGCCUCUGCACAGCAAAGGAAACAACAGUGAAGAGAACCUACAGAAUAGAAAAUACUUUUUGCCAGCUACUCGUUGGACAAUGUUUAGAAUGUAUAAAGAAUUAAAAAAAAAUAGAUGUACCAUAAUAAAAGACCCAGCCAAAAACAAGGCACUUUUUUCCUUAGAAAAUGUGCAAAUGGCCCAUAAAUACAUGAAAAGAUGUUUCACAUCUCUGACCAUUAGAGAAACAGGAAUUAAUACUGAGAUUCCAUUUUAUUCCACAAAUAAUGGCGACCAUCAAAUCAAAUAAUACCCGGCUGAGGCAGGAGGCUCACCACAGGAUUGAGGUCAGCCUGGGCUACAUAGGGGAGAGAGAGAGAGAGAGAGAGAGAGAGAGAGAGAGAGAGAGAGAAUGAUUGCUGGUGAGUUCAUGUGUGUGUGUGAAAGGAAGCCUUCUAUAGUCUAUCAUUGGGAAUUUAACCUAGUACAAGUACUAUGGAAAUCAGUAUGGAGAUUUCUCAAAAAGCUACAACUAAAUAUUCCCCUGGACCCAGGUAUUCCCCUUCUAGAUGUCUUCCUGAAAAAGUUAGAGGAUAUAUAUAUAUAUAUUUUUUUUUUUUCCAGUACUGGGGGUCGAACUCAUGACCUCAUGCUUGCCAGGCAGGCACUUACACCACUGAGCUAAAUCCCCAGCAAAGGUAUAUUUUGAUACAUGUAUAUCUACAUUUAUAGCACCACAACUCAGAAUAGCUAGAUUGUGGAAGUGGCCUGUAUGUCCGUCAGCAGAUGAAUGGAGAAUGCAAACGUGGUGUUUGUUGUAACAGAGACUGCCCUGCAAAUGAAGGGUAAACUUGAGUCAUUUAUAGGAAAGUAGAUGCACCUCAAUACUAAAAUGUUGAGUGAAAUAAAUCAGACACACAGGCUUAAAUGUCACAUGGUUUCUUUUAUAUGAAAAAAGUAUAAAAUAUAAGCAAAAUAAAGAACAAAAUAAAAGACAGACAAUAGGAAACAGAUAGAUUGUGUUUGCAAAUGAGAAGGGGAUGAGAGGAGAUGGAGGGCUGGGGAGGACCCCUAAAAAGAAUUCAGAUGCAUGUGUGUACAUGGGCCACCUCCCCAUGUGAAUGGAGUCACGAUGUGCUGCAGCAUGUCCUAAUAAGAACAAAUAAAGAUGCAUCUCCAUACCCAUAAAGACUCCAGUGCAGCCAUGUGAGCUCAGAGCGGCCAGGAAGCCACAGAGUUCAGAUGAAGUGGGCACCGCAGAGAAGGGUACACUGGAUUCGUGAGUUGCAGGCUGCCCUCACACCUACCAGCCUGAUGCCCUGGUCCCCUAAGACAAGGAGACCAGGUCAGAGGGACUGGGUCCAUCCUGGGGUCCAGGGAAGGACAGAGAUGGAAGCCCUCUGAGCUCACAGCUGGACACUCACAGAUAAAGAAGGGAACAGCCAUGUGCACCCGUGUUUCUAGCAGCACAGUUUAUAAUAGCCAGAUCUUGGAAGCAACCCAAAUGCCCAUCAACUGAGGAAUGGAUAAAAAAGAUGUGUUAUUUUUUACACAAUGGAGUACUACUCAGCUAUAAGGAAUGAUCACAUUGAGAUAUUUAUAAGUAAGUGGAUGCAACUUGAGACCAUACUCAUAAGUGAAAUAAAUCAAACUCACAUGAGUAAAUAUUGUAUUGUCUCCCUAGUGUAAGAAAUGCUAAACAUAACAAAACAAAGCAGAUCAGAAGCAAAACAAUGUAAGUGACACAAAUUUCAAAGCAAGACAACAGGAGAUCUAACAAAAUCCUCAAAAAGUAUAGUAAGAAUCUCCUCAAAGGGGGGGGGGGGAUAUCUCAGGGAAAAGGUGGAAAAAGAAAAAAUAUCUAAAUUUAUAUAAACACACUCAGGAUAGCUAAGCUGACUGUGCUACAGAUUCUGUAAGUCCAUCGAACAAAGCGGUUAAUAUUCACAGGAUUGGAACAAUUUUGCAUGUUUGUGUCAGGUGACCUGAGGAACUCUUGAAGAUCACUGUGUAAAAUAUCAACCUUAGUUCUGUUCCUAGCACUGUGUUUUAAAGGCCUGUAUCGUCGUUGUUUUGGGUUCUUUGCUAUUGUUAUUUAUUUGUCUUUUUUGUUUCUUAUUUUUCUAGCAAUCUGUUUUGUUUUAUUUGGUUUGGUUUGGUUUGGUUUUUCCCUCUAAUGCAGAAAGGAGAGGUGUACAUGUAGAGGGUUAUACAUGCCUAGAACUUCUAAACAGUUUAUGAGAAUCCGUUGUAUUAUGUGUGAUGAAAUGAACAGCUACUCUGAAGAAAAACAGACACUAUGGUAUCCAUUGCUGAUUCCGUAUCAUUAUGCUGUGAAACCCGAUAAUGCUUCUAUUCUUUGUUCAGAGUGGUUUUAGUCUGUUUUGUAUUGUUUAAUUUCAACAUACGUGGAGGUAUGGACAGCUAUUUGGAAGAGAACAAAAGACAUUAUGGCAGCCAUUGUUAAUUUUCCUAUUGUGUGGUUUUGAAGGUCUGUAAUGCCUUCAUCACUCUGUUCUGACCAGUUUUAUACUAUUUUGUUUUGUAUGAAUUCAUUGUGUGUGAAGAUAUAGACAACUAUUUAGAAGAAAAUAAGAGACAUUAUGGUAGCCACUGUAGAUCUCCUGUUGUCUUGCUUUGAAAUUUGUGUCACUUACAUUGUUUUGCUUCUGAUCUGCUUUGUUUUGUUAUGUUUAGUUUUACCCUUUUUUAAAAUUAAAAAAAAAAGAGAGAACAGCCA